UCGAGACAAUUUUGAAAAAGGUCGAGCCAAUUUGUAGGAGUCCGACGAGAGCCUUCCCGAAACGCCCUAGCUUCAUUUCCAUCGGUCAAAUGACAUAUUUCCUCGACCCAUAUUGAAAUUUCGUCGCUCAACCAUCCAUUUUAUGAAGAAUGGUCGAGGAACAUUUGCCCCGGGACGAGCUAGAUUCGGAGAUGGGCGAGAAGUACUCUUCUUG
Molecule: long non-coding RNA, 214 nt
Filed under: Arabidopsis lyrata
Lineage: Eukaryota; Viridiplantae; Streptophyta; Magnoliopsida; Brassicales; Brassicaceae
Description: long non-coding RNA (ALYR_LNC000286)
Source: RNAcentral